ACUUGUAACUUGAGUCGUGGAAAUCCGAAUGUGGUUAUUUAUAUCAGAGUAGAUGCUACUGUGACAUGGGCAUGCACUUCACUCCAACGAAGAUGUAAUCCCCAAGGCGGGGUAAAACUUGAGUCACCUACAAAAUGAUUUUUACCAUUUGUCAGAGCAGAAGUUUUUCUAGGGUUGUGCAUGUCGAGCCUGUUUGGCUGUUUAUGAGCAGGCUACACUAUAGUCAAUCAAGCCCUUGCAAGAUAGUAAUGCAUUUUUGCAUUCUAGGGUUACAAUGGCGACUAAUAAACAAGACGACCAUGCAGAUCUGAUAGAGAAGAGACCCACCCCGGUGACCUCCUACAGCCAUGGUCGAUGGCAGCCCCGGCAAGGAGUGGCUCACGGUCACAGGAGAGAAGGAUCUCCGUACCCUACAAAGCUCGCUGGAGACGGAUCCAUAGGAGCGCAACCAGCAGCUCAAGUAGUUUUACCCGUGCAACCAUCCGGCUAAUUCGCUGGACCUGAAGAAUACCGACGAGUCAACGGACACAUGACGUUCCUGCAGGCUCUGCUGCAGGAGCUACAUCAUCCACUCGCAUACUGUACAAUGUUUACUGAGACAACAUCAACAUGGAAUAUUUGUCUGUCAACUCAGUGAAGCACCAACGGAUCAAGGACAUUGAGGUUGAUAUUUGUAUUCUACUCGAAAAAGUUUUUUCAGCAAACACAUCAAGACGUUGGAAGAAAUUGACGUGGUGUAAAAGGAGCUGGCUUUACAGUCUGGCGUUAAGCACUGGGGAGGAGUUCGUUCUU
Triticum dicoccoides is the source of this 792-nucleotide long non-coding RNA. RefSeq lists it as uncharacterized. The transcript is spliced from 5 exons. NCBI's taxonomy places the organism in Eukaryota, Viridiplantae, Streptophyta, Magnoliopsida, Poales, Poaceae. The record is from RefSeq and is a predicted model, not a curated record.